Molecule: ribosomal RNA, 232 nt
Filed under: uncultured bacterium
Lineage: Bacteria
Description: partial 16S ribosomal RNA
Rfam family: Bacterial small subunit ribosomal RNA
Source: RNAcentral
CGGGGUGAGUAACGCGUGGAUAACCUGCCUCACACUGGGGGAUAACAGUUAGAAAUGACUGCUAAUACCGCAUAAGCGCACAGUACCGCAUGGUACAGUGUGAAAAACUCCGGUGGUGUGAGAUGGAUCCGCGUCUGAUUAGCCAGUUGGCGGGGUAACGGCCCACCAAAGCGACGAUCAGUAGCCGACCUGAGGGGGUGACCGGCCACACUGGGACUGAGACACGGCCCAG